Molecule: ribosomal RNA, 266 nt
Filed under: uncultured Pseudomonas sp.
Lineage: Bacteria; Pseudomonadati; Pseudomonadota; Gammaproteobacteria; Pseudomonadales; Pseudomonadaceae
Description: partial 16S ribosomal RNA
Rfam family: Bacterial small subunit ribosomal RNA
Source: RNAcentral
AGCACGUUAUGGUGGGCGACUCUAAGGAGACUGCCGGUGACAAACCGGAGGGAAGGUGGGGAGUGACGUCAAGUCAUCAUGGCCCUUACGGCCUGGGCUACACACGUGCUACAAUGGUCGGUACAAAGGGUUGCCAAGCCGCGAGGUGGAGCUAAUCCCAUAAAACCGAUCGUAGUCCGGAUCGCAGUCUGCAACUCGACUGCGUGAAGUCGGAAUCGCUAGUAAUCGUGAAUCAGAAUGUCACGGUGAAUACGUUCCCGGGCCUU